This 6228-nucleotide long non-coding RNA is filed under the name Sus scrofa (pig). RNAcentral's name for it is "lncRNA (ENSSSCG00030056219.1)". Lineage: Eukaryota; Metazoa; Chordata; Mammalia; Artiodactyla; Suidae. The record is from RNAcentral.
UUUUUUUUUUUUUUUUUUUUCUUUAGGGCCACACUUGCAGCAGGUGGAAGUUCCCAGGCCAGGGGUGAAACCCAAGCUACAGCUGCCAGCCUACACUUCAGCCGAGUCUGUGACCUACACCACAGCUAAGGCCAGAUCUUUUUUUUUUUUUGCUUUUGAGAUCUGAACAUGUGGCAUAUGGUGUUCCCAGGCUAAGGGUUGCACUGAAUUGAAGCAACGGCUGCUGGCCUAUGCCACACCCACACAGGAUCUGAGCUGCCUCUGUGACCUACACCACAGCUCACGGCGACGCCGAAUCUCUGACCCACUGAGCCUGGCUAGGGAUCGAACCCACGUCUUCAUGGCUACUAGUCAGCUUCUUAACCCACUGAGCCACAAUGGGAACUCUCAGACUUAUUAAAAAGACCUAGAAAUCUAGGUUUAAAACAAACAAAAACUCCUGGUUUUUAAAUAUUGGCAAUAAAUUUUUAAAAAUAAAUAAAGCAGUAUGUGGGGACCAAGGAAAACAUAGCUGCAGGCCAAGAACUGAGUUCCACAGCCGCCCCAGCCAGGAGGCUCUGUUCCUUCUCGGGUCCUCCUAUUGCCCCAUCCACCUGCCGCUGGGCUGCCACCACCUCUCUGUGCACACUCUCCCGAAGCCCGACCCCCUUUGCUGCCGUAGGCCCAGCACAAUCCACUGUCUGUCAGCUCCUCCUUCAAAACAUACCUGGAACGGACUCCCUCUGACCCAGUCCUGCGGGCCUGGGCUACAGCAGCACCUCCUCGCUGGUCUCCCGCUGCCCCCGCGCCCCCUGCAGUCGAUUCUUGGUACAGCAGCCUGAGGAGGCCUGUCCCAGAAAAGGCGGAUUCUGGAGCCUCUCGGCACAGAACCCUCUGUGGCUCCCACCUUAUUCUGAGUAAAAGACGCGCCCUGACAACCCUCUCUGGGAUCUUGUGCUAUCUGCCCUCUGCCCACCUCUUCCCUGGUCUCCUGGCCUCCUGGCUUUUACUCCUGCCCCAGGGCCUUUGCAUUUGCCCCUCCCUGUCACCUGGGUCACCUCCCCUGCCAGAUAUCCACAUGACUGGGAAGGGGGUCUAUCAAUAACCCAGAUUAAGAGGCAUAAAGUGGGACUGCCUGUGUGGCGAACAGGAUGUCCCAGUCACCUUUUGUUUCUUCCAGGCUCUGCUACAUGGCAUCAGAAAAGCCUUUCCUGGCCACCCCAUUAAAGCACCCAUCCUCGCCCUGCUGCCCCGAGUUCCCCCACCUGAAACAUUUUCUCCACCGCACCUCUCACCAUCAGACCUUUUGCUGGAGUGCCUGUCGCGGCUCAGCGGAAACGAAUCUGACUAGCAUCCAUGAGGAUGCAGGUUCGAUCCCUGGCCUCGCUCAGUGGGUUAAGGAUCCAGCACUGUUGUGAGCUGCGGUGUAGGCUGCAGACACAGUUUGGAUCCUGUGUUGCUUGCCUGUGGUGUAGGCUGGCAGCUGCAGCUCCAAUGUGACCCCUUGCCUGAGAACCUCCAUAUGCUGUGGGUGCGGCCCUAAAAAGACAAAAAAAAAAACAAAAACCAAAAAACCACAGUCCUUUUGCUUUAUUUACCAGGUUUUGGUUUGUUUGUUUCUUACCUAUGGCCUCGACUAGACUGUAUGCCCCAUGAGGGGCAGGGAAUUUUUGUCUGUGUGGCUCGCUAAUUGCUGUGACCCGGGCUAAGACAGCACUAAGUGGUUGAAUGUCUCCCCAUUUCCUUCAGCGUCCCUGCAAAUGACAUUCUAAGCCCCUCGCAUAGCUAGCCAUCUCCCUAGCUGUAUCCCCCAUUCUGGCUCCUCCAUGAAUCACCCGCAGUGUGUUUGGCACAACUCUGUGCAUAACGCUCUUUUUUCCAACAAUGUCCUUCUCCUGCCCAUCUGCCACGCAAACUCCUCUUCAUCCUUCAAAACCCAGUGCGAAAAUGCCCUACUUCAGGAAACGUUCCCUGACUCUGUCCCUACUGCCGACUACAGUUAACCCUCCUUCCGUUAUCACUCCCGUGUGUGCUGUGUUGGCAUCUACAGCCUUCCAUGUCCAUCUUUGAGGGCAGGGUCUGCUGGCUGUGUCCUCCAGACUCUGUGGGCCUGGGCUACCCACAGGCAGCCUACCGCUGUCAAUCAAAGCUCUCCCCGCCCAGGGCAGCUGUCGUUCCCAGGAAAAGUGCACCUUUGCCAUAACCCCUCCUGGGACAGGCGGCUGGAGAAGAGGGUCGGGGGUCUGGGUGCUGCCCCCUGUGCCCCCCAUCCCUGCCCUGCUCCAGGCUCAUCUGCCCUCCACCCUCCUAGGGAGGGUCCUUCUCAUUACGAAUCUUCCUCCGCUUCUGUCCUCUCGGCCGCCCUCCCCCGCAGCAGGGGCAGCACCUUUCCCAUGAAUCACCUGCCAGGCCGGCAGGCAGCCUGAGAGCCUCCUGCACGCAUGUGCGCCCGGGUCAGGGGGCCGGGGCUGGAGAGGCGGGGGAGGCGGGGGGGAGGCUGGCAGAUGGCUCCUGCUAAGAAGCACGAGGCAUCGGUCCUGGCGGCAACCAGCCCCCCUGCUGGAGGCGACUCGGCCAGGAGGUGAGAGCGGGUCAGGGCCUCUCACCAGGGAGAAGGCCCUGGGGUUGGAAGUGGGGAGCGGUCGGCCGCACCCCUCCCCAAAUCCCGCACCCACUGCUGACAAUAUUUUUAUCACGCUGUUGGGCACGUCCGCUGUGAGCUUAAUCUAACGUCCAUAUUGCUGCUACUUAAUUAAAUAGAUGGACUCACUGUACAUUUACAAGUCUUAAUUCAUCCUGAACAAAAUUGGCCAUGUUUGGUUCUUUAUACACUAGCAGCUCCCUGGAACAAAUGGUGGCCUUUUCGAGUUAACGGCGGGGACAGGUUAAAAGCUAAUUAUCGGCCCUGGUCGCCCGUGUGAGAGAGUGCGGACGUCUUUAUCCAUCACAGACGUGAGCCGAGGGGCUGAAGGGUUCCAGUUUCCCAGCCGCUGCGGGUCCGCUCCAGCCGGGUCUGAACCUCUGAUGGUGGGUGGGCUCCUGCCUCGCAGGGGGGGGCUCUUUCCAUCCGCCUGCCCCGCCUCCCCUCUCUCCUUGGGAGCGGCUCUCCCGUCCCAGCCCACAGCCCGGGCCACCUGCCCACUCCGCGGGGCUGCCCGCUCGUCUGCGUGGCCCGUGCUCUCCCCCUGAGCCGUCAGAGGGUGAGUCAGGUCUGCACUCACAGCCCCCUGGGGGCUGGGGGCAGGUGGCCUGGGGAGGGGGCACCGAGCCCCGGCGGCAGGGGCAUCCCUAUCUCACGGCGUCAGGACAAACGUCCCCGCGCUCACCCUGGGGAGUGCCUAGACCGGGCCCUGGCACGUGGCAGGUGCUCAAAGCCUGUAGCAGGUUCUGGCAGGUCUCGAGCCUGCGGCUGGGCGCUGGGCGGGGGUAUAAAAGGGCCAGGCUGGCAAGCAAAACGUCAGGUACCAGCUGCCCUGGCCUGUCUCAUGGCAACUCUGCCUGGUCAGGACCGCCUUUGCCCUGGAGCCAGGGACCGGGGGACUGAGCCAGAGCUUGGGGUUUUCAUCUCGUGCCACACGCCAGCCCCUGGGCUGCAGGUCCGCAGAGCGUGAGGCGCCUGUGACAAGAAGCCAGGGCACCCCGCCCACAUUCAGCCAGGUGCUGUUCUAAGCGCUUUCUGGCUACGGACGUGUGUCAGUCUCACCGCAACCCUCGGCGGGGAGGGACCACUCCUACCCUCGCUGUACAGGAAGAAACUGAGCCCAGAGAGGUCAAACAGCGUGCUGGGGGUCACACAGCCAGCAUCCUUGGAGAAGACACUGGGGGCAGAGCUCACAGUCUAAGCAGCCUCAGACUAAGGGGGCCAGGGAGGAGGUGGGGGGGUCGCCCCCUAGCUUUAAUCCUGCUGUGGAUUAAAUGCCCCGCCACCCCCCCCCCCCCGCCCCGCACACACAGUGUGUGGAGAGGCCAUGAGACCCCGGGGGAAGCUGGCUGCCCCUCUGCCCUCUCCUUCUUGUCAUUACAGGCCUGGCCCCCAGCUGCCUGGCCCUGGGGAGUGACCAGGUCAGAGAUGUAAACACACCCGCUUCCCGGCCCCUGAGAAUGGGCACAGCCAGGCUGCCUGGUCCAUCUUUGCCCCGGACGGUGACCAGGGUGGGAGGCUGUCUCCGACAGGUGCCCCCCCCCUCCCCCGUGGACUCAGCACCCUGGGGACUGCCCCUGGGCCCAGAGAGCAGGGCCUCAUCUGUCAAGUCUCACAAGAGAGGUGGCCACUCCAGCACUUCUGCCAGCCUCCGCUGGGCCAGAAGCAUCUACACCAGGCCAUCUCGCUGUUUCACCAGCAGCCCCCAUUUCUCGACGGGCAAGGAGAGCCCCAGAGAGGCCGAGCUCCUUUCCUGAAGCCACACAGCCAGCCAGAGUUGUAACUGGGAUCAGACCCCAAGGGGAUGGGAUCUCACGGCCUGAGCUCCGACUGUGCCCCUCCCCCCAUCACCCACCCACCAGCCAGAGAGGGCAGACCCCCUGCAGGCUGCCGCCAGGGGCUGGAGAGGCUGGGAAGUGGGGGUUCCCGGCCCCUCGGGUAAGCAGCCCAGGACACGGCGGAAUCAGGAGGGAGAGGGCUUCUCGUGAGCCUCUAUCCCAGGCACUCGACGUCACCCCUGGAGGCCUCAGUCCCCUUCCUGGGGCCUGACCCCCCAACCUGCCCACCCUGGCCUGUGUAUAUCCUCCCAGAGGGCCCCCCACUGCUCACUACUCUGCUGUCUCACCGGCUGGGAACAGCUGGCGGGGAGGGGCAAGCCUGUCCCCUGGGGGUAAGCCACCACCAAGACUGGACACCUGCGACUCUGUUCUCCCAACGUCCAGGGAGCCCCUGUGGGGUGACAUCUGGAACGCGUCGAAGGGCCUGGGGCGCAGGCGGCCAAGAGCCAGGCCCCACCCCUUGUCCUAUUGCCCGCAAUUGCAUCAGCUUGAGCCCCCAGGGCUGGGGGUCUUAGGGGGGUGGGGGCAGCCCCUGGGGCCCCCAGCCCUGCUUCCUUCCCUGCCCCCACUCUGGCUCCUUCAUCAGCCCUUGGAGACUCCCCUCCUCUGCCUCCCCACCCAGAGACAAUUUCAUCAGCAGUCAACACAUAUUUGCCCUGCAACUUCCUGAGUGCUCAGAGGGCAGAGGCGGGAUUUUUUUUUUUUUUGGCUUUUCAGGGCCACACCUGCGAGGUGCUGUUCCCAGGUUAGGGGGCUGCAGCUGCAGCUACUGCCACAGUCACCGCAACGCCAGAUCCAAGCCACGUCUGCGACCUCCACCACAACUCGCGGCAACACGGGAUCAUUAACCCACGGAGGGAGGCCAGCAUCCUGCUGGAUACCAGUUGGACUCUUAACCUGCUGAGCCGCAGCGGGAACUCUCAGAGUGGGACUGUCACAAGAGACAGAGUUGUGCUAGAUGGCAGGGUGCCCCCCAGAGGGGCACACUCUCACAACACACACUCAUGUGCACACACACACACACACACACACACUCUGCGGUUCAAACCCUCCCUUCCCCGCUCUGUAGCGCGACCUCCCUGCUAGGUGCCUCAGUUUCCCCACCUGUGCAAAGAGCCCCAUGGACCCGCCUGCUGAGAACAGUAAGUGAGCUCACACCCAAGCCCUGGAAGGGGCUCAGGUCAUUGCUGACCCCCAGCAAGUGCCCUAGGCCUCCACUUCCAGCCUGAGCUGCCCCCCCAGGAUGACUCACAGCCAGGCCUGUGGGGGGAGCGAGCCCUGAGGAUUCUGUGGAGGAAGUCACGCUGCCCAGGAAGCAACUGGGUGGGGGCUGGCGGGGCUCAGGGGGAAGGGAGGGCUCGCCUUCAGGGGUGCUGGGGUGGGGGGGCCCCAGGCCAGGCUGAUCUUUCACACCUGCUGACACCCUGACCGACCUGACCGCGGGUCUUGGCAGGUGCGGCGAAGGGCGUGGGGAGGGCCGCCCCCGCCAGUCUCUUCUGCGGCCGCCUGAACGGUGUGGGAGAGAGGCAAGAUGAAGAAGGAGCCACUUCCUGGCAAAUCCCACGACUCAUCCGGGGCCGGAGGCAGGCGGGGGGCGGGAGGGGGGGCGGGGACGCCCGCCUUCUAAGGCCUCUCCCGAGGUCGGGGGCCUGGGGGCUGACCGCCUAUUUCCAUCCUUACCGCUGCCCCCUGCCCCAGUCCCAGCUCAGGGGGUCCCGGCUCCAGAUGGGGAAACGGAGGCUCAAAGAGCGUGAGGCCGCCUGGCUGGCG